GGCUCAGGAUGAACGCGGGCGGCGUGCCUAAUACAUGCAAGUCGAGCGAACAGAUAAGGAGCUUGCUCCUUUGACGUUAGCGGCGGACGGGUGAGUAACACGUGGAUAACCUACCUAUAAGACUGGGAUAACUUCGGGAAACCGGAGCUAAUACCGGAUAACAUAUUGAACCGCAUGGUUCAAUAGUGAAAGGCGGCUUUGCUGUCACUUAUAGAUGGAUCCGCGCCGUAUUAGCUAGUUGGUAAGGUAACGGCUUACCAAGGCAACGAUACGUAGCCGACCUGAGAGGGUGAUCGGCCACACUGGAACUGAGACACGGUCCAGACUCCUACGGGAGGCAGCAGUAGGGAAUCUUCCGCAAUGGGCGAAAGCCUGACGGAGCAACGCCGCGUGAGUGAUGAAGGUCUUCGGAUCGUAAAACUCUGUUAUCAGGGAAGAACAAAUGUGUAAGUAACUGUGCACAUCUUGACGGUACCUGAUCAGAAAGCCACGGCUAACUACGUGCCAGCAGCCGCGGUAAUACGUAGGUGGCAAGCGUUAUCCGGAAUUAUUGGGCGUAAAGCGCGCGUAGGCGGUUUUUUAAGUCUGAUGUGAAAGCCCACGGCUCAACCGUGGAGGGUCAUUGGAAACUGGAAAACUUGAGUGCAGAAGAGGAAAGUGGAAUUCCAUGUGUAGCGGUGAAAUGCGCAGAGAUAUGGAGGAACACCAGUGGCGAAGGCGACUUUCUGGUCUGUAACUGACGCUGAUGUGCGAAAGCGUGGGGAUCAAACAGGAUUAGAUACCCUGGUAGUCCACGCCGUAAACGAUGAGUGCUAAGUGUUAGGGGGUUUCCGCCCCUUAGUGCUGCAGCUAACGCAUAAGCACUCC
RNAcentral lists this ribosomal RNA (867 nucleotides) under Staphylococcus sp. RNAcentral's name for it is "bacterial SSU rRNA". It matches the Rfam family "Bacterial small subunit ribosomal RNA", at positions 21 to 870 of the family's 1533-position model. Lineage: Bacteria; Bacillati; Bacillota; Bacilli; Caryophanales; Staphylococcaceae. The record is from RNAcentral.